AACUUUGGACAAUGGGGGAAACCCUGAUCCAGCCAUCCCGCGUGUAUGAUGAAGGCCUUCGGGUUGUAAAGUACUUUUGGCAGAGAAGAAAAGGUAUCCCCUAAUACGAGAUACUGCUGACGGUACCUGCAGAAUAAGCACCGGCUAACUACGUGCCAGCAGCAGCGGUAAUACGGAGGGUGCAAGCGUUAAUCGGAAUUACUGGGCGUAAAACGUGUGUAGGGGGUUCGAAAAGAAAGAUGUGGAAUCCCAGGGCUCAACCUUGGAGCAGCAUUUUUAACUGCCGAGCUAGAGUAUGUCAGAGGGGGGUAGAAUUCCACGUGUAGCAGUGAAAUGCGUAGAUAUGUGGAGGAAGACCGAUGGCGAAGGCGGCCCCCUGGGAUAAUACUGACGCUCAGACGCGAAAGCGUGGGGAGCAAACA
RNAcentral lists this ribosomal RNA (422 nucleotides) under uncultured bacterium. RNAcentral describes it as "partial 16S ribosomal RNA". It matches the Rfam family "Bacterial small subunit ribosomal RNA", at positions 360 to 774 of the family's 1533-position model. The record is from RNAcentral.